AUGGAAAGUUAUAAAGAAGUUCGUCAUAAAGCAGCAGUAAGGACUUCACUGUUAAGCUUGUUUUCCCAUUUUCUGUCUGGAAGUUGGAGGGAUUUGAAACUCAUCCAGGGAUUUGAAACUUCAGCAGUUUCUCUUCUUAUAUACUCGAACCAGGCAAAGGAAAUUUUCAGGCUUACUUUUUUCUUCCCAAAUCUCUUUAAGAAAGAACACUCGCAAUAUCGAAUCAAGGACAUAUUGUCAAACGGAAUCAUUUCAGGAUAAGAUCACCUUGAAAGAAGCAGUAUUCUUGUGGAGAAGUUGUACCUGGAGGGGAAGAACAUCCAGGCUUUCCCAGAAUUUCAGCCCGUGCUGACAAGCUGCGAAUUUGGGGUGUGAACUUUUUAUGUGGUGAAGGCCAGCCUGGAAGUAUGAUGCUUUCACUGGCAGACUGAGCCAGCUCCUUAACAGUCAGGAGGUAGACCUUCCUUCAAAAACACAUGAAUUUUGGUGUGGUCCUUGUUUUUAUGUUACUGAUUUCUAGGCUAGCUUACACAGCUGUUUAUAACAGUUCUGUUCAUCAAUGUUUUGUUUACUUAUUGCAUAUAAGCUUUUUAUAUAUGUGUUCCUAAAAGGAUUUUAGUGAGGUGCUAAGUUAGAGACAUGCUAUAUCUAGACUUCUACCUUCAGCUUAUCUGACUUGCCAGUAGAGUUGAGAAACUUAUCUAAUAUUUAAUGGGUGCCAGGUUUAAAAUGGAAGGCGGAUUUGAGAAAAGGCUGAAAAAAUAUUUAUAGUGCAGCCAAAGCAAUUAGAGAAGCCAGCAGAGACUGUAUUUCUCCUCUUAUUCAGGAAGAAUUUACUGCUUCUCCUUUGUCUAUCACUUUCGAAGAACUAUCGGAAGAAUAAUAUACUAAAAUAGUCACCUCUCAGUAAAAAUGCAGGAGGCAAAGGAACUAAAAUGGGUGGGGAUUGGCCAAAUAACUGUUAUUGUCACAAUUCUACUGUGCGCUUCUAAAAAAUGCGUUUAAAGAACAUGGCCUGUGAAAGAAUUGGAAUGGAGUGAAUAAUGGAAAAAUAUUCAGAAAUAUGCUAUUCAGAACAUUUAGUGUAUUCAUAAAUUAUUCACCCCCACAGAAGUGCAGGUGCCUCAGGAUUUUUGUGUGUAAUGUGACAUCCUCAGCUGGCGUACGCUGGCACUGCUGCAUUUGUUUUCAUGGAGGGAUGCCAGUUUACAAAAAUCUGCCCCACGUUAUUCCUUUGUUUUGUACUCUUCUUAUUUUCCCAAACAUUCAAAUACAUGUAACUCUACACAGGAAACUAUGCUGAGACUGGAGAUGAACCUUGGGGCUCUAUGAUAGUACAAUCUCUUUAAGCUUUACUUUCACAGUUUCCACGAUAACAUCGGUUCUUUUUGGUAUAUGCUGAUAGCAUUGCUGCUCACAGCUACCUGCACGUUCUUUCUCUCACUCUCCUGUAGCUGUUCGGUGUGUGUAUGUUAAAUGCUCAAGUUCCAUUACCCACCUAUCUCCAGUUGUUAUCAAGUUAAUUUAUGGAUGAAUGUAUUUAGUUUUGUAUGUAUUUUCAAAACCAAGAGUAAACAGAAUUGUUUUUCCUUAUUUAAAAUCCCAUUAUAGCAGCUGCACUAUAAAGUGUAUUUUUUCUACUGUUAAAUAUUUUAUCUUGACCACAGUUUGCAUAUCAGCAAACUUGUAGCAGUAUGUUGACUGUUAUCUUCUGUGUACCAAAGCACAAGAUAGUUUGGAAUUAUUAAAUAACAUUGCUUCUCCGUUAUCCUUUGAGGGCUGAUACUCUUUUAUUCUAAGUAGAUAAAAGAUAAACAUAAAUUAUAGCAAAUCAAACUGCAGGAUGAUAAAUAUUGGUGGAAGCCUGGAUAAUAAUAUAACAAAAAUAAGAUGAAAUCCACCCUUUCCCACUUGCAUCCAUCUUCUAUAUUUGUUUUUGCAGAUCCAGCUAUUGUAAAGGAAGACAAUGGCUGUGGCAGUGCUUUUGCAAGGCCAUUAUACAUUUCUGAAUGACACAGUCAUCAUUACUCUGAGUCUUAUUUGCUCAAGGUUUUAUAAAUAUAGAUUGGUGUAUGGUUUACGUGGGAAAAGUAUCAAAUCUAUGACACAUAUGUAACUCAAGUCAGCACUAUUUCAAACCUUUUUUGAGAUUCAGUAGCCUUUUCUUUAUAAGAUUUCCAGGAUGGUUUCUGUGGCAAACAGUUGUGACCAUGUGUUAUCUAUGUAUUCCCCACGUUUUCAUUAGCAUGACUGACAGUUAUAGUGUCUGUAAUUCUUCAAGUGAAAAGAAGGCAUUCCCAGGCACUACUGAAAUUGAGAUUUCAUAGGAUCAGAGAAGAAAAAAAAUGAUGGAUUUGUAUCUAGUAUUAUACCAUGGCAUAGAUUUUUAUCCAAGAACAAGUUUUCAUUGACUUGUGAUCAUUACUCAAAUGAACUACUCAGAUGAAAACCAUUUUUAAUUUGGAAAAUAGUGUAUAUCUAUUUAAUAGAAUAGUAGGUACAGAUACAAAUAGGAAAUAGUUUUAGAUCUAAAGGCUGAAGUAGUUAUAACAGAUGGGAAGUCUUGAGGGAGUUAGGACUAGGAUAGAAAAGUCCUUAUGGCACAGAAUCAGGGAAAAAAUAGAAUAAAUUGAGCAUAAGAAAAGGGUGUGAUGAGGAU
Anser cygnoides (Swan goose) is the source of this 2659-nucleotide long non-coding RNA. Lineage: Eukaryota; Metazoa; Chordata; Aves; Anseriformes; Anatidae. The record is from Ensembl.